GGGGUCACUUCAGGUCACACAGGGGUCACACAGGGGUUACACUGGGGUCACACACAGGGGUCACUUCAGGUCACCCUUUGGGGUCACACAUUGGGGUCACACAGGGGUCACACAGGGGUCACACAGGGGUCACACACAGGGGUCACUUCAGGUCACAUCGGGGUCACCCAUUGGGGUCAACAUUGGGGUCACAGAUUGGGGUCCCAUUGGGGUCACACUGGGGUCAACAUUGGGGUCCCAUUGGGGUCACACUGAGGUCAACAUUGGGGUC
This 271-nucleotide long non-coding RNA is filed under the name Phasianus colchicus (ring-necked pheasant). RNAcentral describes it as "lncRNA (ENSPCLG00000013955.1)". The record is from RNAcentral. Lineage: Eukaryota; Metazoa; Chordata; Aves; Galliformes; Phasianidae.